UACGUAGGUGGCAAGCGUUGUCCGGAAUUAUUGGGCGUAAAGCGCGCGCAGGCGGUCCUUUAAGUCUGAUGUGAAAGCCCACGGCUCAACCGUGGAGGGUCAUUGGAAACUGGGGGACUUGAGUACAGAAGAGGAAAGCGGAAUUCCACGUGUAGCGGUGAAAUGCGUAGAGAUGUGGAGGAACACCCAGUGGCGAAGGCGGCUUUCUGGUCUGUAACUGACGCUGAGGCGCGAAAGCGUGGGGAGCAAACAGG
This 254-nucleotide ribosomal RNA is filed under the name uncultured bacterium. RNAcentral describes it as "partial 16S ribosomal RNA". It matches the Rfam family "Bacterial small subunit ribosomal RNA", at positions 524 to 776 of the family's 1533-position model. The record is from RNAcentral.